UUGAUUCUGUCGAAUUUGAGGCUCACUCUAUCCGCAUCUUCUUUGCCUGAAGACGUACAAGUAGAUUCAUGAUAGCAGAGACAUUAGGAAGUGUUCAAUUUUACUGAGAAUUGAGAAAUGUAUAUAGAGGAGAAAUAACGAACCUUGGAGUGGAUCAUAAAAGCCUAACACCUCGAUUUGUUUACCGUCCCUGCGCGAUUUUUCAUCGGCGACAACUACACGAUAGAAGGGUCGGUGUUUACAACCAAGACGCGCGAGCCUUAUCUUCACCGUCAUCUCUGCUUGGAAAUUGAGGUCUGAGAAGUGAGAAGAAAGAAGAUA
Molecule: small RNA, 321 nt
Filed under: Arabidopsis thaliana (thale cress)
Lineage: Eukaryota; Viridiplantae; Streptophyta; Magnoliopsida; Brassicales; Brassicaceae
Description: ATSL235350
Source: RNAcentral